AGCAGCCGCGGUAAUUCCAGCUCCAAUAGCGUAUAUUAAAGUUGUUGCAGUUAAAAAGCUCGUAGUUGAAUUUCGGGAUUGACGUGAUGGUCGUGCCUUAAGGGGUAUGAACUGUCGCAGUUGAUUUCUCACCUUCUGGAGAAGCAUGAUGUCCUUAAUUGGGUGUCAUGUGGAACCAGGACCUUUACCUUGAAAAAAUUAGAGUGUUUAAAGCAGGCAUUUUGCUCGAAUACAUUAGCAUGGAAUAAUAGAAUAGGACGGCAUGGUUCUAUUUUGUUGGUUUCUAGGAUCACCGUAAUGAUUAAUAGGGAUAGUUGGGGGCAUUAGUAUUCAAUUGUCAGAGGUGAAAUUCUUGGAUUUAUUGAAGACUAACUACUGCGAAAGCAUUUGCCAAGGAUGUUUUCAUUAAUCAAGAACGAAAGUUAGGGGAUCGAAGACGAUCAGAUACCGUCGUAGUCUUAACCAUAAACUAUGCCG
This 477-nucleotide ribosomal RNA is filed under the name uncultured Entrophospora. RNAcentral's name for it is "SSU rRNA". It matches the Rfam family "Eukaryotic small subunit ribosomal RNA", at positions 569 to 1044 of the family's 1831-position model. The record is from RNAcentral. Lineage: Eukaryota; Fungi; Glomeromycota; Glomeromycetes; Entrophosporales; Entrophosporaceae.